AUUAUAACUCUCGGGGCAUAAUAGAACAAUAUAAUUAGCUUUUAACUCUUUGUUCGAUAGAAUGAGAAAAAGUACUCGUUGCAAAGCUAUACUGUUAGGGCGCAACUGAGUAGUCUAAUGUUGUUCCGAUUUUGGUUCUUUUGAAGGUUGACAUCGAUUCGUUCCAAAUUUACACUCUUGGGACAUAAUAGAACAAUAUAAUUAGAUUUUACUCUUUGUUCGAUAGAAUAAGAAAAAGUACUCGUUGCAAAGUUAUACUGUUAGGGCACAACUGAGUAGUCUAAUGUUGUUCCGAUUUUGGUUAUUGUGAGCGUUGACAUCGAUUCGUUCCAAAUUUACACUCUCGGGGCAUAAUAGAACAAUAUAAUUAGCUUUUACUCUUUGUUCGAUAGAAUGAGAAAAAGUACUCGUUGCAACGUUAUACUGUUAGGGCGCAACUGAGUAGUCUAAUAUUGUUCCGAUUUUGGUUCUUGUGAACGUUGACAUCGAUUCGUUCCAAAUUUACUCUCUCGGGGCAUAAUAGAACAAUAUAAUUAGGUUUUACUCUUUGUUCGAUAAAUUGAGAAAAAGUACUCAUUGCAAAGUUAUACUGUUAGGGCGCAACUGAGCAGCCUAAUGUUGCUCCAGUUUUGGUUCGUGUGAACGUUGACAUCGAUUCGUUCGAAAUUACAACUCUCGGGGCAUAAUUGAACAAUAUAAUUAGCUUUUACUCUUUGUUCGAUAGAAUGAGUGUGAGAUAUUGAAUCUCGAUGGAAUUUGGCUAACUUUGGCCAAAUGGACCAAAGUGGGCAAUUGAACGGUUUGGACAAGUUCCAUUCGGUAUUCUAACAAGUUUGGAAGAGCUAAAAAGAGUUUUGAAGGUGUUGGAAUGGUUUUGGCAUCGAUCGGCGCGAGGUAAAGCCGAAAAGAGGUGAAAACAGCAUUCUGGAGCUGUUAUACCGGUACAAGUGUGAUGGUUGUACCGGUACAACCAUCGCAGCUCUCGGGUUGGAAGCUGCCAGACCUUGUACCGGUACAAGGGGGUCUUGUACCGGUACAAGCCCUGCGAAACCGAGAAACCGAGCUCUCGGGUUGGGCUGUCUGCCAGGCCUUGUACCGGUACAAGGGACCCGAAACAGUGGGUCUGUUUGGAAAAUUAGAUUUUAGAGGGGCUUUUUGGGAUUUUGUUACAAUAGAGGGCUAACAUACCUCUCUCUCUCUCAGCCUCUCUCACUCUUAGCCACUCUCUCUCCCUCUCACUUAGCUCUCUCUCUCUCUCUAACCGAAAAGAGAAGAAAAGAAGGAGAAGAAUGAGAGAAAGAAGAAGAAGAAGAAGAGAAGAAUGAAGGGAAGGAGGAGAUCAAGGAGGAGAAGUAGAAGCUUCUCUCCCUCCUUUUCCUCAAGCUAGGGCUUGCUUUCGAGCAAACCCUGGAAGUAAGCCUCAACCCUAAUUGUGAGAUUCUAGGAUUUUGGGAGUUUUUGUUGGUUUUAUUGGUUCAAAUGGAACCUAAUGAGUUUAGAGGACAUGGAUCUAGCUCACAAUGAAGCUAGAAACUAAUGGUUUCCCUUGGGUGCUAAACCUAGGGUUGGAUUUUGGGGUUUUUGGGAAUAUAGGAUUUUGAUCUAUUUUGAUGGGUCGAAAACCUAAUUGUUAUGUUUCCGAACGCGUAGGCGAAGACGGUUCGUCGAUCCGACGAGCGAGUGCGGAGUUAUCGCCGAUUUGGUCGCUUUAGGGUUCGUUUUGACCCAAGGUGUUGAAGCGGCGCACAAGGACCGCGACGCCGAGUUUCAUAGUUUUUCGGCACUACCACAAGGUGGGUGGUAACCUUCCCAAAGCCGCGGGGCUACGUUCUAUGUCCAAGUUUAAUGUUGAUCUAAUUGCAUCUUAUUCAUGUGCAUAUAGGGCUAGUAGAUGAUUGUUGUUGUUUACAUUUGCAUGCUAGUAGCUAUAUGUUUAGUUGAUUGAUCCAUGAUCUAGUAUGCAUGAAAACUAUAUGAUGAAAACCUAGACCCUAUAUGAGAUGAUUAAUGUUUAUGUUGCUAAAGAACUAGUAUGAUGUAACUAGUGUUGAUAAUGAGUCAAAAUGGCAAGUGGCACCUAACAUAGAAAAUUAUGACGAGUGGCAUAUGAUUGUUGAUAGCUUAUGACAUGAGAACCCUAGUGUAGCUGAAACACUAUGAGAUUGAGUAUUAAAACACCAUGAUUCUAAAAUGAGAUUACCCUCAGAGGGUAGAAUGCUGUUGGUCGUGAGUUGAUCGUGCUCACAUAGCCUGUCUGCGCUUGGAGGGGUCGCUCCCCCCAAGCUGUGCACUCCAGAGGUUGGUCACUAGAGGGACAGUCAGUGUGCUGUCUGGACGGUCUGUAUGCUGUCCGCAGGCGGUCUCGAGAGUAGUUUAGUGAGACUUUCCCUAUGAGACUUACACGUGAGUUAUGCUUGUGAACUUCGAGUUCAUCAUGAGAUUGGGUAACUUAUUGAGUCACACUCAUUACUUGUUGUUUAUAGUAGCUUCCCUAUGGUUGUUCAUAUUAGCUUAAUUGUUGUUGUUGUUCAUAGCAGCUUAUCACAUAGCUUUAUUAUCGUUCAUGCAUGCAUGAUAUCAGAUUGAGGUAUAGCUAGAUAUUCAUGAUUUUACCUACUUGCUUACGUUCUUUACUUGCUCAGUUAUCAUACCUGCUUUUGUUAGUUUAGCUUUAUAUAUAUAUUGCAUAUAUAUCUCUCUAUGCCUGCUUCGACCUAGUGGGUAGAUCGAUGGAGUCGGCGGCCGAACCCACUGGGAACUAUUCGUAGUUCUCACACCCGUUGUUGCAGGCGCUAGUUCGAGUGUCCCGACCGAGCGGGAGGAUCGCGGCAAGGGCUUGGCGCCCAAGCAGUAUCAGUUGGUAGCUUACUUUCUACUUGCAUUAGCUCCACCCUGUCUUUAUAUUUUGAGAGUAGAUGUUGUAUAGGGUGAGGUUUUGGAGAGUACUUGAUGUAUUUUCAUUAUGAAAAAGAUUGAAAAUCAUGUAUGAAGGUUUAACGAGAUUUAAUGCAAGUUGUAUUUAAAUGCUUUAAAUUUUAUAGUUCAAAUAGUUACGUUUCACUCUUUUGUAUACUUGUAUACUUGUAUGCUUUUACUUGUAUCGCUUGCUCUUGAUGGUUUUAACACUGUUUGUGUUAUCGUUGUUCGAUUGUGCAUGAAAUCAAAUUGUUUUUCCUCGGGACUUGUUGUACACAAUCUCGUUGGUUAGCCUUGGGCGGAUAGGGGAGACUCUGUCCGUUCGGCCUCACGCCGCCGCCCUCGAACCGGACCAAAUAGGUACCGUUUUCGGCCCAUGUGGUUGGGGCGUGACAAUGAGAAAAAGUACUCGUUGCAACGUUAUACUGUUAGAGCGCAACUGACUCGUCUAAUGUUGUUCCGGUUUUGGUUCUUGUGAACGUUGACAUCGAUUCGUUCCAAAUAUACUCUCUCGGGGCAUAAUAGAACAAUAUAAUUAGGUUUUACUCUUUGUUCGAUGGAAUGAGAAAAAGUACUCGUUGCAAAGUUAUACUGUUAGGGCGCAACUGAGUAGUCUAAUGUUGUUCCGGUUUUGGUUCUUGUGAGCGUUGACAUCGAUUCGUUCCAAAUUUACACUAUCGGGGCAUAAUAGAAUAAAAUAAUUAGCUUUUAUACUUUGUUCGAUUGAAUGAGAAAAAGUACUUUGUAAGGAAGUGAAUUCUCGAAAUCUGAGGAUUGUACUUUUAUCCAGGAUCGACUGACUGUCGAGAGGAUACCCUUUG
This 3737-nucleotide long non-coding RNA is filed under the name Ananas comosus (pineapple). Its description in RNAcentral is "long non-coding RNA (ACOM_LNC035951)". Lineage: Eukaryota; Viridiplantae; Streptophyta; Magnoliopsida; Poales; Bromeliaceae. The record is from RNAcentral.